UGGGGAAUAUUGCACAAUGGGCGCAAGCCUGAUGCAGCCAUGCCGCGUGUAUGAAGAAGGCCUUCGGGUUGUAAAGUACUUUCAGCGGGGAGGAAGGUGUUGAGGUUAAUAACCUCAGCAAUUGACGUUACCCGCAGAAGAAGCACCGGCUAACUCCGUGCCAGCAGCCGCGGUAAUACGGAGGGUGCAAGCGUUAAUCGGAAUUACUGGGCAUAAAGCGCACGCAGGCGGUCUGUCAAGUCGGAUGUGAAAUCCCCGGGCUCAACCUGGGAACUGCAUUCGAAACUGGCAGGCUAGAGUCUUGUAGAGGGGGGUAGAAUUCCAGGUGUAGCGGUGAAAUGCGUAGAGAUCUGGAGGAAUACCGGUGGCGAAGGCGGCCCCCUGGACAAAGACUGACGCUCAGGUGCGAAAGCGUGGGGAGCAAACA
This 427-nucleotide ribosomal RNA is filed under the name uncultured bacterium. RNAcentral's name for it is "partial 16S ribosomal RNA". It matches the Rfam family "Bacterial small subunit ribosomal RNA", at positions 355 to 774 of the family's 1533-position model. The record is from RNAcentral.